Molecule: ribosomal RNA, 422 nt
Filed under: uncultured eukaryote
Lineage: Eukaryota
Description: SSU rRNA
Rfam family: Eukaryotic small subunit ribosomal RNA
Source: RNAcentral
CAAUAGCGUAUAUUAAAGUUGUUGCGGUUAAAAAGCUCGUAGUUGGAUUUCUGUUGAGGACGACCGGUCCGCCCUCUGGGUGAGUAUCUGGCUCGGCCUUGGCAUCUUCUUGGAGAACGUAACUGCACUUGACUGUGUGGUGCGGUAUCCAGGACUUUUACUUUGAGGAAAUUAGAGUGUUUCAAGCAGGCGUACGCCUUGAAUACAUUAGCAUGGAAUAAUGAGAUAGGACUUUGGUUCUAUUUUGUUGGUUUCUAGGACCGAAGUAAUGAUUAAUAGGGACAGUUGGGGGCAUUUUUAUUCCAUUGUCAGAGGUGAAAUUCUUGGAUUAACGGAAGAAAAACUACUGCGAAAGCAUCUGCCAAGGAUGUUUUCAUUGAUCAAGAACGAAAGUUAGGGGAUCGAAGACGAUUAGAUACCGU